Molecule: long non-coding RNA, 1028 nt
Organism: Eucalyptus grandis
Lineage: Eukaryota; Viridiplantae; Streptophyta; Magnoliopsida; Myrtales; Myrtaceae
Exons: 2
Source: RefSeq, a predicted model, not a curated record
AAUAAAUAUCAAUACCUUACUCAAAUAGAAAUUGGUGAUGCAAACAAGUUGAUAAUUUAAUUGGAGAAAAGUUGGUAAUCACUCUAAUAGACAUUGACAAUUUCUAAAAAAAUUAGCAAAUUCAAAAGGUUGACAAACAAGGCAAAUAAAAGUAGUAAUUCAAUAGAAAAUUAGUAAAUUAACAAAAUAGUAAUAAAUGGUAGUUACAAGCAAUCAAAUGAUACUUGGUAAUCCAAAACCAGUUGGCAUCUCAACUGGAGAAUAGGGAAACACUCAAAUAAAGGUUGGUAAUUUUUUAUAGUAAGUUGGUAAUUUAAAAAAAAAAAAAAAGUUACAAACAUUAGUAACUAACUUAAAGAAGGGGUGGUGACACAAAACUUGGUAACUUAACUGGGUAAAAGUUUGUAACAACACUAAUGAACAUUAGUACUUUCUAAAAAGAGUUGGUGAAUGGAACGGGUUGGUAAGCAAGACAAAUAAUAAGUUGUUAAUUCAAUAGAAAAGUUGGUAAAUUUAAAAUAAAUAAAUAACCAUUAAUAAGUAACUUAAAUGAGACUUGAUAUAUUUAAACUAACUUGAAACCUAAUGAGAGAAGAACUGAUAACUCACAAAUAAAGGUUGGUAGGUUCUUAUGAGAGACAUUUAUAAAAUAGACAAAUAAGGAAUAAAUAAACGUUAAUAUGGGUGAAUAAUUAGGCUAAAUAUAGUAACACCAAUUGUUCACGUUUAUCAGAUAGUAGCCCCUGCAACUGGUCUAAUGGGUAAAAAAAAACCGUGUUAUUCCCUUCACAUAAUUUGAUUGUUUGUGUUUGUAGGUAAUGUGGGUGGAGACAACCCACCUCAUUCCCCAGGCUGCUAAUGGAGGUUAGCUUUAUCGUUCGGGACUACGGAAGGUGCCGCCGAGGAUAUUCAAUAACUUAGGGGUGAUCACUUGUAAUAUGGAUAAUUUUGAAUGUCAAAUGUUAUUGUUCUUUUCAAUAUUUACUAAAGGAAGCUAUAUUAUUGUGGUCAUUUAUUUAUUUUUUAUA